This is a long non-coding RNA of Salmo salar (Atlantic salmon), 501 nucleotides long. RefSeq lists it as uncharacterized. NCBI's taxonomy places the organism in Eukaryota, Metazoa, Chordata, Actinopteri, Salmoniformes, Salmonidae. The record is from RefSeq and is a predicted model, not a curated record.
CCACGUAUCCAAUCGACCACCAUUGACAUUCUUCCGAAAACAGGGAGAUCUGUUGGCCAACCCGGCCAGCAUCUACGACCAAUCUACCGAAGCGCAGCUCAGAAUGGCCAAGCAAGUUGCACAGAACUUGCCCAACAUCCCCUCCCAAAUUGAUAUGGAACCUUCAAAAACACAUGGAGCAACUGCGAAAAGAAAUAGCUGAGGAUAUACUAAAAAUGUCUGAGUUCAAAGUCAACUGCUUUUUGUGUGCCACUGAUAAGGAACCUGGAUGUGGCCCGAAGACUGACUGGGAAUGAAGACAAAAGAGUUCAGAGUAAAGAACAAACAGGAAGUGCAGUCUUUGUUGUUGAAAAUGUAUGUUAUACCCCAUCCACACUGAAGAGGCUCUGAAAUGUACAUCAACCAGGGAUAAAGAGAAAGUUAACACUGAAAUGUUUCAUACUUAAUUGAAGUGUCUGUUGACAUGUUGGAAAAGAUUAAAGGUCUACAAUUUCUGUUAAA